AGCGAGGAAAAAUGGGAGGGGCGAGAAAGAAAUAGCUAUUUCUUUUUCGCCCCUCCCAUUUUUCCUCGCU
Molecule: non-coding RNA, 70 nt
Organism: Paramuricea clavata
Lineage: Eukaryota; Metazoa; Cnidaria; Anthozoa; Malacalcyonacea; Plexauridae
Source: the annotation of a GenBank genome assembly